AGUGAACGCUGGCGGUAGGCCUAACACAUGCAAGUCGAACGGCAGCACAGUAAGAGCUUGCUCUUACGGGUGGCGAGUGGCGGACGGGUGAGGAAUACAUCGGAAUCUACUUUUUCGUGGGGGAUAACGUAGGGAAACUUAUGCUAAUACCGCAUACGACCUACGGGUGAAAGCAGUGGAUCUUCGGACCUUGCCCGAUUCAAUUAGCCGAUGUCGGAUUACCUAGUUGGCGAGGUAAAGGCCCACCAAGGCGACGAUCCGUAGCUGGCCUGAGAGGAUGAUCAGCCACACUGGAACUGAGACACGGUCCAGACUCCUACGGGAGGCAGCAGUAGGGAAUAUUGGACAAUGGGCGCAAGCCUGAUCCAGCCAUACCGCGUGGGUGAAGAAGGCCUUCGGGUUGUAAAGCCCUUUUGUUGGGAAAGAAAAGCAGCAGGUUAAUACCCCGCUGUUCUGACGGUACCCAAAGAAUAAGCAACGGCUAACUUCGUG
Molecule: ribosomal RNA, 492 nt
Filed under: uncultured bacterium
Lineage: Bacteria
Description: partial 16S ribosomal RNA
Rfam family: Bacterial small subunit ribosomal RNA
Source: RNAcentral